Mucilaginibacter mallensis is the source of this 71-nucleotide transfer RNA. It matches the Rfam family "tRNA". From Rfam's summary of the family: Transfer RNA (tRNA) molecules are approximately 80 nucleotides in length. NCBI's taxonomy places the organism in Bacteria, Pseudomonadati, Bacteroidota, Sphingobacteriia, Sphingobacteriales, Sphingobacteriaceae. The record is from Rfam.
UUUCCUAUGGUGCAAGGGUAACAUGUCUGAUUCUGGUUCAGAAGAUAGUGGUUCGAAUCCAUUUAGGAAAA